CCCCUUUCCACUCCACCCCACGCCCUUAAACUGAACCAAAAUCAAACCGUCGCCAUCGCCGUUCCUUUCCUCCACCACCACUCGUCAUCGCUAACUCCGUUCCUUUCCACCACCACUCGCCGCCACCGCGAACCACCACCAUCGUUGACCCAAAUCUCAAACAGCAAACACAAAUCUCUCUCAAAUCCUAUGUUCAUCUUCCAAAUUUCCGAAUGAGUCCUCAGGGUAACCAAGAUGGUGAAUCUAAUCGCUGAAGCUUAAAUGAGGCCUCCCCAUCCAGAUUUAAAGUAUAUUAAUAAAAUUCAAAGAGGCGAAUUUUACAAGCCAAAUCUUGUUGAAGCCUGUGGAAGGACCUCAAUUUACGUCCUUGAAGUGGGUUCAGAAAUGGUUUGGGGGUGUUGGAUUUGAUUAACAAGGAUUUUGCUAGGUUGGUGGUGGGAAUAGACUACCCCAUGACGACGUGGGAUAGAGUCACUACUGAAGAAUUUUUCAAAUAUAGUUUACAGUCUAUGGACUUGUUGAAUUCUAUUACCUCUUUCAUUUCCUAUUCAUACAAGCUAAGAUUUUCUUUUUUAUGCUUUAACCCUGAUUGAAAAAUCCCCUUCUUCUGCAAAGGAAAAUCUGCUGCAAAUCAAACCUCUUCCAUUUGACAGUGGAGAAGAUGGUGGCAGCUGUGGCGGAGGCGGCUGUGGGUUUGGUGGUGGACCUGGUGGUGGCAACGACGUUUACAGUGGUGGGCGACAAGGGAGAACAGUGAUAUUGGUCUUGCGUAGGCCGUAGGGGGUGGGGUUUGGACGGAAUGGUUGAAGAUAGCAACUGCGAGUGUGGGAGAUGAUGAUUUUAAAAAAAUUUCAUUUAAUUAUUUUAGUUAUUUAAUGUGAAAAACCUUUUAAAAUUGGUCAAAGUUAAUUUUUCUAGGUCAACUAAUGGUCCAAUUUCAUCCUGCGAAUUUCUAAAAUGUUUGGAUCCGUGAUUGGCACAAAUUGAAGUUUAAGAGAUAAAGUCCGUGAAAAAUGAAAAGUCUUGAGAUGGCUGUUGCAAUUUUGCAUUUAAAUCAAG
This 1059-nucleotide long non-coding RNA is filed under the name Olea europaea subsp. europaea. Lineage: Eukaryota; Viridiplantae; Streptophyta; Magnoliopsida; Lamiales; Oleaceae. The record is from RNAcentral.